CCUACGGGGGGCUGCAGUGGGGAAUAUUGCACAAUGGGCGCAAGCCUGAUGCGGCCAUGCCGCGUGUGUGAAGAAGGCCUUCGGGUUGUAAAGCACUUUCAGCGGGGAGGAAGGCGUUAAGGUUAAUAACCUUGGCGAUUGACGUUACCCGCAGAAGAAGCACCGGCUAACUCCGUGCCAGCAGCCGCGGUAAUACGGAGGGUGCAAGCGUUAAUCGGAAUUACUGGGCGUAAAGCGCACGCAGGCGGUCUGUCAAGUCGGAUGUGAAAUCCCCGGGCUCAACCUGGGAACUGCAUUCGAAACUGGCAGGCUAGAGUCUUGUAGAGGGGGGUAGAAUUCCAGGUGUAGCGGUGAAAUGCGUAGAGAUCUGGAGGAAUACCGGUGGCGAAGGCGGCCCCCUGGACAAAGACGGACGCUCAGGUGCGAAAGCGUGGGGAGCAAACAGGAUUAGAUACCCGUGUAGUC
RNAcentral lists this ribosomal RNA (465 nucleotides) under uncultured Klebsiella sp. Its description in RNAcentral is "bacterial SSU rRNA". It matches the Rfam family "Bacterial small subunit ribosomal RNA", at positions 338 to 795 of the family's 1533-position model. Lineage: Bacteria; Pseudomonadati; Pseudomonadota; Gammaproteobacteria; Enterobacterales; Enterobacteriaceae. The record is from RNAcentral.